Molecule: unclassified non-coding RNA, 520 nt
Filed under: uncultured Glomus
Lineage: Eukaryota; Fungi; Glomeromycota; Glomeromycetes; Glomerales; Glomeraceae
Description: SSU rRNA
Rfam family: Eukaryotic small subunit ribosomal RNA
Source: RNAcentral
AGCAGCCGCGGUAAUUCCAGCUCCAAUAGCGUAUAUUAAAGUUGUUGCAGUUAAAAAGCUCGUAGUUGAAUUUCGGGAUCAAUAUGUUGGUCGUGCCUCGGUACGUACUAGCAUAUUGGUUUUUCCUUCUGAAGAACCAUGAUGUCAUUUAUUUGGUGUCGUGGGGAAUCAGGACCGUUACUUUGAAAAAAUUAGAGUGUUUAAAGCAGGCUCACGCUUGAAUACAUUAGCAUGGAAUAAUGAAAUAGGACGUUUGAUUCUAUUUUGUUGGUUUCUAGGAUCGACGUAAUGAUUAAUAGGGAUAGUUGGGGGCAUUAGUAUUCAAUUGUCAGAGGUGAAAUUCUUGGAUUUAUUGAAGACUAACUACUGCGAAAGCAUUUGCCAAGGAUGUUUUCAUUAAUCAAAGAACGAAAGUUAGGGGAUCGAAGACGAUCAAAUACCGUCGUAGUCUUAACCAUAAACUAUGCCGACUAGGGAUCGGAUGGAUGUUAAUUUUUAAUGACUCAUUCGGCGCCUUACG